CUACGGGGUGCAGCAGUCGAGAAUCUUCCGCAAUGGACGAAAGUCUGACGGAGCGACGCCGCGUGCGGGAUGAAGGCCUUCGGGUUGUAAACCGCUGUCAGUGGGGAGGAAAUGCAUCAGGGUUCUCCCUGGUGUUUGACCGAUCCGCAGAGGAAGCGCAGGCUGAAGUUCGUGCCAGCAGCCGCGGUAACACGAACUGCGCGAACGUUAUUCGGAAUCACUGGGCUUAAAGAGUUCGUAGGCGGCCUUUCAAGUCGGGUGUGAAAUCCCUCGGCUCAACCGAGGAAUUGCGCCUGAUACUGUUGGGCUUGAGGGGGAUAGGGGUGAGCGGAACUGAUGGUGGAGCGGUGAAAUGCGUUGAUAUCAUCAGGAACACCGGUGGCGAAGGCGGCUCACUGGAUCUCUUCUGACGCUGAGGAACGAAAGCUAGGGGAGCGAACGGGAUUAGAUACCCGCGUAGUC
This 462-nucleotide ribosomal RNA is filed under the name uncultured bacterium. RNAcentral's name for it is "partial 16S ribosomal RNA". It matches the Rfam family "Bacterial small subunit ribosomal RNA", at positions 339 to 795 of the family's 1533-position model. The record is from RNAcentral.